AGUGAACGCUGGCGGUAGGCCUAACACAUGCAAGUCGAACGGCAGCACAGUAAGAGCUUGCUCUUACGGGUGGCGAGUGGCGGACGGGUGAGGAAUACAUCGGAAUCUACUUUUUCGUGGGGGAUAACGUAGGGAAACUUACGCUAAUACCGCAUACGACCUACGGGUGAAAGCAGGGGAUCUUCGGACCUUGCGCGAUUGAAUGAGCCGAUGUCGGAUUAGCUAGUUGGCGGGGUAAAGGCCCACCAAGGCGACGAUCCGUAGCUGGUCUGAGAGGAUGAUCAGCCACACUGGAACUGAGACACGGUCCAGACUCCUACGGGAGGCCGCAGUGGGGAAUAUUGGACAAUGUGCGCAAGCCUGAUCCAGCCAUACCGCGUGGGUGAAGAGGGCCUUCGGGUUGUAAAGCCCUUUUGUUGGUAAAGAAAAGCAGCAGGUUAAUACCCCGCUGUUCUGACGGUACCCAAAGAAUAAGCACCGGCUAACUUCGUG
RNAcentral lists this ribosomal RNA (492 nucleotides) under uncultured bacterium. Its description in RNAcentral is "partial 16S ribosomal RNA". It matches the Rfam family "Bacterial small subunit ribosomal RNA", at positions 29 to 507 of the family's 1533-position model. The record is from RNAcentral.